UGAUUAUGAUGAUUUUUUUCCAUUUCAUUCGCGGUUUCCACCAGAGAAGCUCUUGUUUCGAAGAUGGGUCAUUGUCCUUCCUUGGAUGUCUGAAUCG
Pomacea canaliculata is the source of this 97-nucleotide small nucleolar RNA. RefSeq annotates it as small nucleolar RNA SNORD14. The transcript has a single exon. NCBI's taxonomy places the organism in Eukaryota, Metazoa, Mollusca, Gastropoda, Architaenioglossa, Ampullariidae. The record is from RefSeq and is a predicted model, not a curated record.